This 497-nucleotide ribosomal RNA is filed under the name uncultured bacterium. RNAcentral's name for it is "partial 16S ribosomal RNA". It matches the Rfam family "Bacterial small subunit ribosomal RNA", at positions 28 to 507 of the family's 1533-position model. The record is from RNAcentral.
GAUGAACGCUGGCGGCGUGCCUAAUACAUGCCAGUCGAGCGAACAGAUGAGGAGCUUGCUCCUCUGACGUUAGCGGCGGACGGGUGAGUAACACGUGGAUAACCUACCUAUAAGACUGGGAUAACUUCGGGAAACCGGAGCUAAUACCGGAUAAUAUAUUGAACCGCAUGGUUCAAUAGUGAAAGACGGUUUUGCUGUCACUUAUAGAUGGAUCCGCGCCGCAUUAGCUAGUUGGUAAGGUAACGGCUUACCAAGGCAACGAUGCGUAGCCGACCUGAGAGGGUGAUCGGCCACACUGGAACUGAGACACGGUCCAGACUCCUACGGGAGGCAGCAGUAGGGAAUCUUCCGCAAUGGGCGAAAGCCUGACGGAGCAACGCCGCGUGAGUGAUGAAGGUCUUCGGAUCGUAAAACUCUGUUAUUAGGGAAGAACAAAUGUGUAAGUAACUAUGCACGUCUUGACGGUACCUAAUCAGAACGCCACGGCUAACUACGUG